UGACAUUUCAAUCAGCUGCUCCAAAAGAUCUAUUCUUCUGCUUCCUGAUCUCCCAUCAACUGUGUAGCAAAGGUUCUUCUCAUUGGCUCACUGUGAUGGAAAGCACCACAAGGCAAGGAAUUGAGGGCAGCCUCUAGCCAACAUCCAGUGAGGAACUGAGCCCUCAGCCCACAGAGAACUGAAUCUUGUCAAGACCACUGACCUGUGUGCAGAGGCUGGACUGGGUUCUACAACAAUGUUAAUAUGAAAUUGGAAAUUUCAGUGAGAUACAUAUGGCAAUUCAACCUUCAGGCCCCAGCUCAAAUGUCUUUUUUAAGUUUAUUCUCUUAGAUCACCAUGAGAUUUUCUUUCAC
RNAcentral lists this long non-coding RNA (353 nucleotides) under Equus caballus (horse). Its description in RNAcentral is "lncRNA (ENSECAG00000047349.1)". Lineage: Eukaryota; Metazoa; Chordata; Mammalia; Perissodactyla; Equidae. The record is from RNAcentral.